RNAcentral lists this ribosomal RNA (607 nucleotides) under uncultured Fusarium. RNAcentral's name for it is "eukaryotic LSU rRNA". The stretch from base 223 to 376 matches the Rfam family "5.8S ribosomal RNA". Lineage: Eukaryota; Fungi; Ascomycota; Sordariomycetes; Hypocreales; Nectriaceae. The record is from RNAcentral.
CAAACUUGGUCAUUUAGAGGAAGUAAAAGUCGUAACAAGGUCUCCGUUGGUGAACCAGCGGAGGGAUCAUUACCGUGUUAUACAACUCAUCAACCCUGUGAACAUACCUAAAACGUUGCUUCGGCGGGAACAGACGGCCCUGUAACAACGGGCCGCCCCCGCCAGAGGACCCCUAACUCUGUUUUUAUAAUGUUUUUCUGAGUAAACAAGCAAAUAAAUUAAAACUUUCAACAACGGAUCUCUUGGCUCUGGCAUCGAUGAAGAACGCAGCGAAAUGCGAUAAGUAAUGUGAAUUGCAGAAUUCAGUGAAUCAUCGAAUCUUUGAACGCACAUUGCGCCCGCCAGUAUUCUGGCGGGCAUGCCUGUUCGAGCGUCAUUACAACCCUCAGGCCCCCGGGCCUGGCGUUGGGGAUCGGCGGAAGCCCCCUGUGGGCACACGCCGUCCCUCAAAUACAGUGGCGGUCCCGCCGCAGCUUCCAUUGCGUAGUAGCUAACACCUCGCAACUGGAGAGCGGCGCGGCCAUGCCGUAAAACACCCAACUUCUGAAUGUUGACCUCGAAUCAGGUAGGAAUACCCGCUGAACUUAAGCAUAUCAAUAAGCGGAGG